This is a non-coding RNA of Bacteroidetes bacterium 4484_249, 108 nucleotides long. The record is from Rfam. NCBI's taxonomy places the organism in Bacteria, Pseudomonadati, Bacteroidota.
UGCCGCCGGGUAAGUCUUAUACGACCAGCUCCUGCUGAAACCCCCCAGGACCGGAAGGUAGCAAGGGUAGGCGGUUGUAGCGGUGCGAUAUAAGUAGCUUACCCUUUU